CCUACGGGAUGCACCAGUGGGGAAUAUUGCACAAUGGGCGCAAGCCUGAUGCAGCCAUGCCGCGUGUAUGAAGAAGGCCUUCGGGUUGUAAAGUACUUUCAGUGGGGAGGAAGGCGAUAAGGUUAAUAACCUUGUCGAUUGACGUUACCCGCAGAAGAAGCACCGGCUAACUCCGUGCCAGCAGCCGCGGUAAUACGGAGGGUGCAAGCGUUAAUCGGAAUUACUGGGCGUAAAGCGCACGCAGGCGGUUUGUUAAGUCAGAUGUGAAAUCCCCGGGCUCAACCUGGGAACUGCAUCUGAUACUGGCAAGCUUGAGUCUCGUAGAGGGGGGUAGAAUUUCAGGUGUAGCGGUGAAAUGCGUAGAGAUCUGAAGGAAUACCAGUGGCGAAGGCGGCCCCCUGGACAAAGACUGACGCUCAGAUGCGAAAGCGUGGGGAGCAAACAGGAUUAGAUACCCGUGUAGUC
This 465-nucleotide ribosomal RNA is filed under the name uncultured bacterium. RNAcentral describes it as "bacterial SSU rRNA". It matches the Rfam family "Bacterial small subunit ribosomal RNA", at positions 338 to 795 of the family's 1533-position model. The record is from RNAcentral.